RNAcentral lists this ribosomal RNA (501 nucleotides) under uncultured bacterium. Its description in RNAcentral is "partial 16S ribosomal RNA". It matches the Rfam family "Bacterial small subunit ribosomal RNA", at positions 30 to 523 of the family's 1533-position model. The record is from RNAcentral.
AUUGAACGCUGGCGGCAGGCUUAACACAUGCAAGUCGAGCGGAGAUGAGGUGCUUGCACCUUAUCUUAGCGGCGGACGGGUGAGUAAUGCUUAAGAAUCUGCCUAUUAGUGGGGGACAACAUUCCGAAAGGAAUGCUAAUACCGCAUACGUCCUACGGGAGAAAGCAGGGGAUCUUCGGACCUUGCGCUAAUAGAUGAGCCUAAGUCGGAUUAGCUAGUUGGUGGGGUAAAGGCCUACCAAGGCGACGAUCUGUAGCGGGUCUGAGAGGAUGAUCCGCCACACUGGGACUGAGGCACGGCCCAGACUCCUACGGGAGGCAGCAGUGGGGAAUAUUGGACAAUGGGGGGAACCCUGAUCCAGCCAUGCCGCGUGUGUGAAGAAGGCCUUAUGGUUGUAAAGCACUUUAAGCGAGGAGGAGGCUACUGAGACUAAUACUCUUGGAUAGUGGACGUUACUCGCAGAAUAAGCACCGGCUAACUCUGUGCCAGCCGCCGCAGUAA